CUUGGCGGGCGUGCUUACCAUGCAGUCGAACGAUGAAGCCUAGCUUGCUGGGUGGAUUAGUGGCGAACGGGUGAGUAACACGUGAGCAACCUGCCCCUGACUCUGGGAUAAGCGCUGGAAACGGCGUCUAAUACUGGAUACGAACAAGAAUCGCAUGGUUACUUGUUGGAAAGAUUUUUUGGUUGGGGAUGGGCUCGCGGCCUAUCAGCUUGUUGGUGAGGUAAUGGCUCACCAAGGCGUCGACGGGUAGCCGGCCUGAGAGGGUGACCGGCCACACUGGGACUGAGACACGGCCCAGACUCCUACGGGAGGCAGCAGUGGGGAAUAUUGCACAAUGGGCGGAAGCCUGAUGCAGCAACGCCGCGUGAGGGAUGACGGCCUUCGGGUUGUAAACCUCUUUUAGCAGGGAAGAAGCGAGAGUGACGGUACCUGCAGAAAAAGCGCCGGCUAACUACGUGCCAGCAGCCGCGGUAAUACGUAGGGCGCAAGCGUUAUCCGGAAUUAUUGGGCGUAAAGAGCUCGUAGGCGGUUUGUCGCGUCUGCUGUGAAAUCCCGAGGCUCAACCUCGGGCCUGCAGUGGGUACGGGCAGACUAGAGUGCGGUAGGGGAGAUUGGAAUUCCUGGUGUAGCGGUGGAAUGCGCAGAUAUCAGGAGGAACACCGAUGGCGAAGGCAGAUCUCUGGGCCGUAACUGACGCUGAGGAGCGAAAGGGUGGGGAGCAAACAGGCUUAGAUACCCUGGUAGUCCACCCCGUAAACGUUGGGAACUAGUUGUGGGGUCCAUUCCACGGAUUCCGUGACGCAGCUAACGCAUUAAGUUCCCCGCCUGGGGAGUACGGCCGCAAGGCUAAAACUCAAAGGAAUUGACGGGGACCCGCACAAGCGGCGGAGCAUGCGGAUUAAUUCGAUGCAACGCGAAGAACCUUACCAAGGCUUGACAUACACCAGAACACCCUGGAAACAGGGGACUCUUUGGACACUGGUGAACAGGUGGUGCAUGGUUGUCGUCAGCUCGUGUCGUGAGAUGUUGGGUUAAGUCCCGCAACGAGCGCAACCCUCGUUCUAUGUUGCCAGCACGUAAUGGUGGGAACUCAUGGGAUACUGCCGGGGUCAACUCGGAGGAAGGUGGGGAUGACGUCAAAUCAUCAUGCCCCUUAUGUCUUGGGCUUCACGCAUGCUACAAUGGCCGGUACAAUGGGCAGCGAUACCGUGAGGUGGAGCGAAUCCCAAAAAGCCGGUCCCAGUUCGGAUUGAGGUCUGCAACUCGACCUCAUGAAGUCGGAGUCGCUAGUAAUCGCAGAUCAGCAACGCUGCGGUGAAUACGUUCCCGGGUCUUGUACACACCGCCCGUCAAGUCAUGAAAGUCGGUAACACCUGAAGCCGGUGGCCUAACCCCUUGUGGGAGGGAGCUGUCGAAGUGAUCCG
This 1424-nucleotide ribosomal RNA is filed under the name Microbacterium aerolatum. Its description in RNAcentral is "bacterial SSU rRNA". It matches the Rfam family "Bacterial small subunit ribosomal RNA". Lineage: Bacteria; Bacillati; Actinomycetota; Actinomycetes; Micrococcales; Microbacteriaceae. The record is from RNAcentral.